GUGAGUAAUGCCUAGGAAAUUGCCCUGAUGUGGGGGAUAACCCUUGGAAACCAUGGCUAAUACCCCCUGAUGCCUACGGGCCCAAGAGGGGGACCCUCCGGCCCCCCCCCUCCGGAUAUGCCUAGGUGGGAUUAGCUAGUUGGUGAGGUAAGGGCUCCCCCAGGCCACCAUCCCUAGCUGGUCUGAGAGGAUGAUCCGCCCCCCUGGAACUGAGACCCCGUCCCGACUCCUACGGGAGGCCGCCGUGGGGAAUAUUGCACAAUGG
This 265-nucleotide ribosomal RNA is filed under the name Vibrio ponticus. RNAcentral's name for it is "partial 16S ribosomal RNA". It matches the Rfam family "Bacterial small subunit ribosomal RNA", at positions 106 to 374 of the family's 1533-position model. Lineage: Bacteria; Pseudomonadati; Pseudomonadota; Gammaproteobacteria; Vibrionales; Vibrionaceae. The record is from RNAcentral.